This is a long non-coding RNA of Melospiza melodia melodia, 1132 nucleotides long. RefSeq lists it as uncharacterized. The transcript has 2 exons. The record is from RefSeq and is a predicted model, not a curated record. NCBI's taxonomy places the organism in Eukaryota, Metazoa, Chordata, Aves, Passeriformes, Passerellidae.
GGUCCCUGCGCGGGCCCGGGCCCCGCCCCACCGGGGCUGGCAGUGCUCACACACACCCAACGGGCCCCGUCCCUGCCCGAGAUAGGCACCCCCAGCCCCCUCCCGUAGCCGGCACACACGUUCGGGCCGCUCUGCGGGGACAGGGGUCGGCUGAGGUGAGGGCAGGGCAGACGCGCCACAGACGCAUCAAAGCUCUUAAGAUGCUUUGGGACGGAAAUUGCAGGCAGGAUCAGUGCAGUAAGCAGUUCAGGAGUUCUGGGCAAGAGGAAUUUCUCUGCUUUCCUAGUCUGAGCUGGAAAGGACUUAAAGGAUCGUCGAUUCCGGCUCUUUGAGUAAUAGACACCAGAAGCACAGAGGAAACUUUUCAUCUUGAUGAAAGAGAGAAUUUUUUUUCAGUGGAGGAAUUGAGAGUGCCCAUCCCUGGAGGUUCUGCAGACACAGCUGGGCAGGUGCUGGGAAAUCCAACCUGGGCUUUGUUUUCCACCAAAGGUGGCACCAGGUGAUGGUUUGGGGUCCCCACCAGCCUGGGGAGCUCUGGGAUCUGUGAAGAUUGUGAAAAAUGUGUAUUUUAUGUUUGGCUUUUGGCAAAUAUUCAAAUGAAUGCUGUCCGUGUUAUGUUAGAGAGUUAUGCUGUAUUAAUUUUUUUAGUAGUGUGCUAAAUACAGUUUUAGGUUACAACAUAAUGUUAAAAUAGAAACUAUAAUAUUAUAUAAUGUUAAAAUAGAAGCUAUACUAAGAUACAUUUUUAAAGAGAGGACUCCCACCAAAAUAGCAGCCACAAAACCCCUAAAUCUUUCAGAGAAAGAGAAUUUAUUGCUCCAUUAUCGAGUUCUUCCCACCUUGCUCAGUCCUAAAGAUGCUGUUAUGAUUCAAAACGAAAAAAAUUGACACUGACCAAGCAAAAUAAUUUGUUCAAAUAAAAUUUAUACAUCAUGUCUAGAGUAUAUGAAUGUGCAACAGGCUGUUGCUUUUAAGGGUUAAUCCUCUGUUAACGUGGGUCCAUUUUCGGGUUUAUUUUGCUCAGAAAAGGUACCCAGACUGUCUGUAACUUGUUGUCUCUAUUGUCUCCUAUUGUCCUAAUCUCAAUUGUUCAAAUUAUUAUUACUCUAAUUAUAUCACAAUUUUAUAACCA